This 216-nucleotide ribosomal RNA is filed under the name uncultured fungus. RNAcentral describes it as "partial small subunit ribosomal RNA". The stretch from base 38 to 216 matches the Rfam family "Eukaryotic small subunit ribosomal RNA", at positions 684 to 864 of the family's 1831-position model. The record is from RNAcentral. Lineage: Eukaryota; Fungi.
GGAUCAGUUCGCUGGUCAUGCCUCUGGUAUGUACUGGUGUUUCUGAUUCCUCCCUUCUGACGAACUGUCAUGUCAUUAAUUUGGUGUGGCGGGGAAUCAGGACUGUUACUUUGAAAAAAUUAGAGUGUUUAAAGCAGGCUCGCGCUUGAAUACAUUAGCAUGGAAUAAUGAAAUAGGACGAGCGAUCCUAUUUUGUUGGUUUCUAGGAUUGACGUA